Molecule: long non-coding RNA, 459 nt
Filed under: Equus asinus (donkey)
Lineage: Eukaryota; Metazoa; Chordata; Mammalia; Perissodactyla; Equidae
Description: lncRNA (ENSEASG00005037217.1)
Source: RNAcentral
GUGGUCUCUGAGUUCGUUUCCUCGGUGUCUAGAGGGCCUGCGUGAGGGCGUGCCCGUGCGCUCGCAUCUCUGUGCCUUUUGCGGGUUUGGCACCGCUUCCUUCCCCUUUGGAAAUUCACCCCCUCCCCUCUUGCCGGCUUUCGUCUCCUCGUGUGUGUUCUGCCAAAUCUGAUGGAAACAGAACAGCGCCCCCACGUGAUUGCAAGUUGGUGGUACUCCAGUAUGCUCCGCUGUGUUGGUGCAAAGGGAUCAGUCUUCCACGUUGAUUCCCCAGUCUGUCUUGUUUUGGCUGGGCUAGAUUCACUGCACAUUGGCAGGUGCAAGAACCUUAGGAUAUUUUGAGAAACCUCAAGAAAAGAAGAAUUCAACCAAAUUUAUAUGUAUUGCAGGCAGAGUCUGAUGGCAAGGCAUUUGCUUGGCCUUCCUGGCUUGUAGAACCCUUUAAAGUUCAAUCUGAGA